This 708-nucleotide ribosomal RNA is filed under the name uncultured bacterium. RNAcentral describes it as "bacterial SSU rRNA". It matches the Rfam family "Bacterial small subunit ribosomal RNA", at positions 98 to 823 of the family's 1533-position model. The record is from RNAcentral.
GCGGACGGGUGAGUAACGCGUGGGUAACCUGCCUCAUACAGGGGGAUAACAGUUAGAAAUGACUGCUAAUACCGCAUAAGCGCACGGUUUCGCAUGGAACAGUGUGAAAAACUCCGGUGGUAUGGGAUGGACCCGCGUCUGAUUAGCUGGUUGGCGGGGUAACGGCCCACCAAGGCGACGAUCAGUAGCCGGCCUGAGAGGGUGAACGGCCACAUUGGGACUGAGACACGGCCCAAACUCCUACGGGAGGCAGCAGUGGGGAAUAUUGCACAAUGGGGGAAACCCUGAUGCAGCGACGCCGCGUGAGUGAAGAAGUAUCUCGGUAUGUAAGGCUCUGUCAGCAGGGAAGAAGAAAGACGGUACCUGACCAAGAAGCCCCGGCUAACUACGUGCCAGCAGCCGCGGUAAUACGUAGGGGGCAAGCGUUAUCCGGAUUUACUGGGUGUAAAGGGAGCGUAGACGGCCAGACAAGUCUGAAGUGAAAAUCCAGCGCUUAACGUUGGAAGUGCUUUGGAAACUGCCGGGCUAGAGUGCAGGAGGGGCAGGCGGAAUUCCUAGUGUAGCGGUGAAAUGCGUAGAUAUUAGGAGGAACACCAGUGGCGAAGGCGGCCUGCUGGACUGCAACUGACGUUGAGGCUCGAAGGCGUGGGGAGCAAACAGGAUUAGAUACCCUGGUAGUCCACGCGGUAAACGAUGAUUACUAGGUGU